UGGUUGCUUUUGGAACCAAAUACCAUGAUGUAAGGAAGCCCAAGCAGCCACAGCAAAGAAUACAUGUAAGUGUUAACAACUCAUAGCCCCAGAUGAAGUUCCAACUGACAGCCAUGACCAACCACCAGACGCAUGAAUGAGAGAGUCUUUGACAUCAGUCAACCCCAGUGACCAUCUGGCUGAAAUUUCAUGAGACACACCUGAGUGAGAAUCAAGUAGCUAAGCCCACUCACCGGCAAAACCAUGUGAGCAGUUGGCCUCAUUGUUCCACUUCGCUGAGAAAAUGAAGAACAUCUGGAAAGAUCUACCUCCUUUAUCUGCAGCACCACGGAACACUUAAAUCCACACUGUGCUCCUUAUUCUUUCUUCAGUAAUGAAGGGACCAGCACCAAUCAGAAUCACCUAUCUAUUCAAUUUACCAACUAUAUCAGAAGCUUACUUUGAGAACUCGGCCA
Long non-coding RNA from Gorilla gorilla gorilla (western lowland gorilla), 455 nucleotides. RefSeq lists it as uncharacterized. NCBI's taxonomy places the organism in Eukaryota, Metazoa, Chordata, Mammalia, Primates, Hominidae. The record is from RefSeq and is a predicted model, not a curated record. The transcript has 3 exons.